Molecule: long non-coding RNA, 977 nt
Organism: Meriones unguiculatus (Mongolian gerbil)
Lineage: Eukaryota; Metazoa; Chordata; Mammalia; Rodentia; Muridae
Exons: 2
Source: RefSeq, a predicted model, not a curated record
GACCUUACCAUCUAUGCUCCUCAUGCUCUUGAGAGUGUCAUAAGGCAGUCACCUGAUCGCUGGCUCAUGAAUGCCCGAAUGACGCAUUACCAGGCUUUGCUCUUGAAUAACGAUAGAGUCACCUUUGCCCCGGUGACGGGGCUAAACCCUGCCACCUUAUUGCCGGAUCCAGAAAUCCAGCCCCCAGAUUGUUUGCAGGUUCUAGCAGAGGAACAGGGAUGGUGAAAGGACUUGAUAUUCUGGCUUUGCUCAAUGCCUUGUUGUUGCCCACCAAGGCUGAAAGGACUGCAGCUUAUUCAGAAGGAAAUUUGGAGCAAGGUUGGCAGUGCAUAUGCACCUGGAUCCUUGGAGGUGCCCCAUCAGUUCCAGGUUGGAGAUCUGGUAUGUGAGACGACACUGCAGCCAGAAUCUGGAACCUCGGUGGAAGGGUCCUUAUUAUGUCCUGCUCACCAGUAUACCAACUGCCGUCAAAGUAGAGGGCAUCGCAUCUUGGAUCCAUGGGUCACACAUCAAGCCAGCUCUUCAUCAACCUGCAGACACCUGGAAAGUCCAAGCCUCCAGCAACCCACUAAAACUGAAACUCAUCAGGGACAAUAAACUCUCCGACCAGUACUCACCUUCAUCAGGGAAGUGUAAAUGCAAUUUAGGUCCUGAUGCUCCAGAGACAGUAUCAACCUCUCCCUGAGAUUGAUCCACAAUUUUAGGGUUAAAAUUGAGGCAAAAAGAAAAGGGGGGAAUGAGGGACCACCUGGGAAUGAGAAAAAAACUGUAAUUCUUUGAAUUGAAGCCAGGUGCAGAGAGCUCUUGAAGGGUGGGGUGAACUGUUCUGAUAAACAACCAGCUGUAAACUAUCUACAACCAAAGUGAUCUGAUUUUCAGGUAUAAAAACCCUGUGCUUUGCAUGUUCAGGGUUGUCUCCCACUUUUGGAGGGGUGACCCUAUCGUGAUAGCAAUAAAACCUCUUGCUUUUGCAUCGA